This 253-nucleotide ribosomal RNA is filed under the name uncultured bacterium. RNAcentral's name for it is "partial 16S ribosomal RNA". It matches the Rfam family "Bacterial small subunit ribosomal RNA", at positions 524 to 776 of the family's 1533-position model. The record is from RNAcentral.
UACAGAGGUCUCAAGCGUUGUUCGGAUUCAUUGGGCGUAAAGGGUGUGUAGGUGGCUCCGUAAGUCGGGUGUGAAAUUUCGGAGCUUAACUCCGAAACUGCAUUCGAUACUGCGGUGCUUGAGGACUGGAGAGGAGACUGGAAUUCAUGGUGUAGCAGUGAAAUGCGUAGAGAUCAUGAGGAAGACCAGUGGCGAAGGCGGGUCUCUGGACAGUUCCUGACACUGAGGCACGAAGGCCAGGGGAGCAAACGGG